Molecule: ribosomal RNA, 109 nt
Filed under: Salvator merianae (Argentine black and white tegu)
Lineage: Eukaryota; Metazoa; Chordata; Lepidosauria; Squamata; Teiidae
Source: RNAcentral
GCCUACGGCCAUACCACCCUGAAGACGCCCGAUCUCGGAAGCGAAGCAGGGUGGGGCCUGAUUAGCACCUGGAUGGGAGACCGCCUGGGAAUACCGGGUGCCGUAGGCU